GAAUAAAUAUAGUCUUUACAAUUACGGCGGGAUAGAAUUGUGAAGGGUUUCUGGUUCAUAUUGUUCACAUAUUUAGUUUGUCCAAUGAGUGACAGUUGUCCUUUAGAGGAUUAUGCAAUUUUUGUAUUUGAUCUUCAACUUCAAAUUACAAUUCACUAUACUAAUAUAUUCCAAUAGACUAAGACUGAUUUGAGGUGUAUGAUACCUAUUUCGGUAGCUUGUGGAGCUCUUGAAAUCAU
This 239-nucleotide unclassified non-coding RNA is filed under the name Hevea brasiliensis (rubber tree). Lineage: Eukaryota; Viridiplantae; Streptophyta; Magnoliopsida; Malpighiales; Euphorbiaceae. The record is from RNAcentral.